GUUCGGUAGGUAAGGCUCCUGUUGGGAUAUGGGCUGUUGCCGCAAAAUGGUGGAGACACCAUGCGCCGGUUUGAACAAGACGCAUCGAACCCAAGGUGCGUUUUAACACAGCUUCACCGCCCUGCAAAGCUAAAGCUCAAACGAAUG
Molecule: small RNA, 147 nt
Filed under: Candidatus Pullichristensenella stercorigallinarum
Lineage: Bacteria; Bacillati; Bacillota; Clostridia
Description: M-box riboswitch (ykoK leader)
Rfam family: M-box riboswitch aptamer (ykoK leader)
About the family: M-box riboswitch, also know as ykoK leader is described as a metaloregulatory RNA that sense divalent metals and function as a genetic control element of genes related to divalent metal transport in bacteria. It was first reported upstream of the B.subtilis ykoK gene and genes with related functions in other bacteria.
Source: RNAcentral